RNAcentral lists this unclassified non-coding RNA (343 nucleotides) under soil metagenome. RNAcentral's name for it is "partial contains 5.8S ribosomal RNA, internal transcribed spacer 2, and large subunit ribosomal RNA". The stretch from base 1 to 120 matches the Rfam family "5.8S ribosomal RNA", at positions 35 to 154 of the family's 154-position model. The record is from RNAcentral.
GAUGAAGAACGCAGCGAAAUGCGAUAAGUAAUGUGAAUUGCAGAAUUCAGUGAAUCAUCGAAUCUUUGAACGCACAUUGCGCCCGCUAGUAUUCUGGCGGGCAUGCCUGUCCGAGCGUCAUUUCAAGCCUCAAGCCCCCGGGCUUGGUGUUGGGGAUCGGCGAGCCUCCGCGCCCGCCGUCCCCUAAAUCUAGUGGCGGUCUCGCUGUAGCUUCCUCUGCGUAGUAGCACACCUCGCACUGGGAAACAGCGCGGCCACGCCGUUAAACCCCCAACUUCUGAACGUUUGACCUCGGAUCAGGUAGGAAUACCCGCUGAACUUAAGCAUAUCAAUAAGCGGAGGA